GGCCUCGUGGCCCAAUGGCAAGGCGUCUGACUACGAUAGGAAUUCUACAAAAAUCCUUUAAAAAUCAGGAGAUUCUGGGUUCGACCCCCAGCGAGGUCA
Xylaria telfairii is the source of this 99-nucleotide non-coding RNA. Lineage: Eukaryota; Fungi; Ascomycota; Sordariomycetes; Xylariales; Xylariaceae. The record is from the annotation of a GenBank genome assembly.